RNAcentral lists this ribosomal RNA (135 nucleotides) under Triticum aestivum (bread wheat). RNAcentral describes it as "partial small subunit ribosomal RNA". The record is from RNAcentral. Lineage: Eukaryota; Viridiplantae; Streptophyta; Magnoliopsida; Poales; Poaceae.
CUGCCCGGCUGCAAGCACGCUUUCCACCGGCUGUGCGUUGAUGAGUGGCUCCGGCGGCGGUUGAGCUGCCCGCUCUGCCGCACAUCGCCGUCCGCCACGCGCGCGUCGCCUGCGGCCACCACCGAUGACUGCUGA